Molecule: ribosomal RNA, 494 nt
Filed under: uncultured bacterium
Lineage: Bacteria
Description: partial 16S ribosomal RNA
Rfam family: Bacterial small subunit ribosomal RNA
Source: RNAcentral
GACGAACGCUGGCGGCGCGCUUAACACAUGCAAGUCGAACGGAAAGGCCUGCUUUCCCUUGUGGAUUGCGGGUACUCGAGUGGCGAACGGGUGAGUAACACGUGAGUGAUCUGCCCCCAACUUGGGUAUAAGCCUGGGAAACUGGGUCUAAUUCCCGAUAGGACUGCAGGGUGGUGCCUGUGGUGGAAAACGAUUUUCUAGUGGUUGGGGAUGAGCUCGCGGCCUAUCAGCUUGUUGGUGGGGUAAUGGCCUACCAAGGCGGCGACGGGUAGCCGGCCUGAGAGGGUGGACGGCGACAUUGGGACUGAGAAACGGCCCAGACUCCUACGGGAGGCAGCAGUGGGGAAUAUUGCACAAUGGGCGGAAGCCUGAUGCAGCGACGCCGCGUGGGGGAUGACGGGCUUCGGGUUGUAAACUCCUUUCGACCGCGAGGAAGCCACCUGGUUGGAAGGGUGGUGACGGUAGUGGUAGAAGAAGCACCGGCUAACUACGUG